UGAGGAAUAUUGGUCAAUGGGCGAGAGCCUGAACCAGCCAAGUAGCGUGAAGGAUGAAUGCNCUAUGGNUUGUAAACUUCUUUUAUACGGGAAUAACAAACGNNACGUGUACCGCUNUGCAUGUACCUUAUGAAUAAGCAUCGGCUAACUCCGUG
This 155-nucleotide ribosomal RNA is filed under the name uncultured Bacteroides sp. Its description in RNAcentral is "partial 16S ribosomal RNA". It matches the Rfam family "Bacterial small subunit ribosomal RNA", at positions 355 to 507 of the family's 1533-position model. Lineage: Bacteria; Pseudomonadati; Bacteroidota; Bacteroidia; Bacteroidales; Bacteroidaceae. The record is from RNAcentral.